Molecule: long non-coding RNA, 1049 nt
Filed under: Oncorhynchus kisutch (coho salmon)
Lineage: Eukaryota; Metazoa; Chordata; Actinopteri; Salmoniformes; Salmonidae
Description: lncRNA (ENSOKIG00005010279.1)
Source: RNAcentral
UCUGAUCACAGCUUUAAACUGAGUAAACAAGGAGAACAUCACACAGAUGGUAUUAGCAGAGAUCUGAGGGUAGAAUGUUCGCUGUAGUUAUCUAAAACGACCACAGGGUGGCAGUAGAAGAUGCCUAAAAGUACCGGUACUCUAUCAUGAAAAUGAUGAUGUGAGAACAAUGAUGAUGGUGAUGAUGAUGAUUUGGUGGGAGGCUUGGCCAAAUCUGUAUAUUUAAUAGGAUUUUUUUUUGUAUUUGUAGUUUUGUUUUAUGGACUGGAGUUGCAAGUAUUGCACUGUGUUUGUUAUGUCUGUUUGUUGAUAAUUUUUAUGUUAUGUGAAGAAAAAAAUGAGAUUGAUGAUAAUGACCAUAGAUGGCUGAAGUCCUCUCCUUCCCCUCUCCUCCUCCUCGUCCCUUCCCAGCUCAGACUCCUUGCCACCCCUCCUCUCUCCCUCCUGUCCUUCCCCCACUGUCUCCAGUCCCCUACACAAACUGGAACAGUACUGUGAUGUUCUGGAGGAGCUGGGAGGGCUAAACCACGCCUAUGACUCCUUCCUCUCCGUCCUUAGACACGCCCAGCGCCACGGUGAGGACCUCCGGGCCAGCGACCUCAUCGUCGGGUGUCCGGUCCCGGUGGAGGAGCGUGGAGAGCUGGUGAGUCAGGUGUGUGGGAGGACCAGGAGGAAGAAGACCGGGGUGUGUUCCUCUAUCAACCCCUCAUCGUCUUCACCAAGCAGAAGAGCCUGGGACACACCGCCUACAGCUUCAAACACAGCACCAAGUGUCAGAGUGGAGAGGAGAGGGCAGCCUGGACACACGAUAUCACUCAGCUCCUUUGGACCCACACCAUACACAACACAGAGACAAUGUGUAUUGGUCUGUCCAGUAAGAUACUGCUAGAUGUCACAGGAGCACCAGACACAUCUGAAAUGGCCUCUAUCUACAGUCUGAAUGACAGAGGUACAAAUGCACUCACACACACCUUAACGGACCAUAUGAUUACCUUAUGUGUAUUGUAUCUCUAUCCACAGUAAAACGAGAUACUUUACCUACACCAUAG